GAUGAACGCUGGCGGCGUGCCUAAUACAUGCAAGUCGAACGAACAGACGACGAGCUUUCUCCUCUGACGUUAGCUGCUUACGGGUGAGUAACACGUGGAUAACCUACCUAUAAGACUGCUAUAACUUCGUGAGACCGGAGCUAAUACCGGGUAAUAUAUUGAACCGCAUGGUUCAAUAGUUAAAGACGGUUUUGCUGUAACUUCUAGAUGUAUCCGCGCCGCAUUCGCUAGUUGGUAAGGUAGCGGCUUACCAAGGCAACGAUGCGUACCCGCCCUGAGGGGGUGAACGGCCACACGAGAACUGAGACAGGGUCCAGACUCCUAGGGGAGGCAGCAGCAGGGAAUCUUACGCAAGGGGCGAAAGCCUAACAGAGCAACACGGCGUGAGUGAUGAAGCUCCUAGGAUCGUAGAACUCUGUUAUUAGGGAAGAACUAAAGUGUAAGUAACUAUGAACGUAGUGACGGUACCUAAUCAGGAAGCCCCGGCUAACUACGUG
RNAcentral lists this ribosomal RNA (497 nucleotides) under uncultured bacterium. RNAcentral describes it as "partial 16S ribosomal RNA". It matches the Rfam family "Bacterial small subunit ribosomal RNA", at positions 28 to 507 of the family's 1533-position model. The record is from RNAcentral.